RNAcentral lists this ribosomal RNA (773 nucleotides) under uncultured bacterium. RNAcentral's name for it is "bacterial SSU rRNA". It matches the Rfam family "Bacterial small subunit ribosomal RNA", at positions 8 to 796 of the family's 1533-position model. The record is from RNAcentral.
AGAGUUUGAUCAUGGCUCAGGACGAACGCUGGCGGCGUGCUUAACACAUGCAAGUCGAACGGAAAGGCCCGCUUGCGGGUACUCGAGUGGCGAACGGGUGAGUAACACGUGGGCAACCUGCCCUCAGCUCUGGGAUAACUCCGGGAAACCGGUGCUAAUACUGGAUAUUGACUUCUGCUCGCAUGGGUGGUUGUUGAAAGUUUUUCGGCUGGGGAUGGGCCCGCGGCCUAUCAGCUUGUUGGUGGGGUGAUGGCCUACCAAGGCGACGACGGGUAGCCGGCCUGAGAGGGCGACCGGCCACACUGGGACUGAGACACGGCCCAGACUCCUACGGGAGGCAGCAGUGGGGAAUAUUGCGCAAUGGGCGGAAGCCUGACGCAGCGACGCCGCGUGAGGGAUGACGGCCUUCGGGUUGUAAACCUCUUUCAGCUCUGACGAAGCGUGAGUGACGGUAGGAGCAGAAGAAGCACCGGCCAACUACGUGCCAGCAGCCGCGGUAAUACGUAGGGUGCAAGCGUUGUCCGGAAUUAUUGGGCGUAAAGAGCUCGUAGGCGGUUUGUCGCGUCGAAUGUGAAAUCCCGGGGCUCAACCCCGGGUCUGCAUUCGAUACGGGCAGACUAGAGUUCGGUAGGGGAGUCUGGAAUUCCUGGUGUAGCGGUGAAAUGCGCAGAUAUCAGGAGGAACACCGGUGGCGAAGGCGGGACUCUGGGCCGAUACUGACGCUGAGGAGCGAAAGCGUGGGGAGCGAACAGGAUUAGAUACCCUAGUAGUCC